UACAGAGGGUGCUAGCGUUGUCCGGAAUCACUGGGCGUAAAGGGCGCGUAGGCGGCCCGGUAAGCAGGGGGUGAAAUCUUGCGGCUCAACCGCAAGGCUGCCUUCUGAACUGCCGGGCUGGAGCACGGUAGAGGCAGAUGGAAUUCCCGGUGUAGCGGUGGAAUGCGUAGAGAUCGGGAGGAACACCGGUGGCGAAGGCGGCAUCCUGGACCGACACUGACGCUGAGGCGCGAAAGCCAGGGGAGCAAACGGG
RNAcentral lists this ribosomal RNA (253 nucleotides) under uncultured bacterium. RNAcentral describes it as "partial 16S ribosomal RNA". It matches the Rfam family "Bacterial small subunit ribosomal RNA", at positions 524 to 776 of the family's 1533-position model. The record is from RNAcentral.